This 402-nucleotide ribosomal RNA is filed under the name uncultured bacterium. RNAcentral describes it as "bacterial SSU rRNA". It matches the Rfam family "Bacterial small subunit ribosomal RNA", at positions 29 to 419 of the family's 1533-position model. The record is from RNAcentral.
AGUGAACGCUGGCGGCGUGCCUAACACAUGCAAGUCGAGCGAAGUGGCAGCUGUAGCAAUACAGUAUGUGCUUAGCGGCAGACGGGUGAGUAACACGUAGACAAUUUACCUCUUAGCGGGGGAUAGCCCGCCGAAAGGCGGGGUAAUACCGCGUAAGAUCUCUUAUCGGCAUCGGUGAGGGAUGAAACGUCCGCAAGGACGGCUGAGAGAAAAGUCUGCGGCCAUCAGCUAGUUGGUGAGGUAAUGGCUCACCAAGGCUACGACGGGUAUCCGACCUGAAAGGGUGACCGGACACACUGACACUGAGACACAGGUCAGACUCCUACGGGAGGCAGCAGUGAGGAAUUUUGGACAAUGGGGAAACCCUGAUCCAGCGACGCCGCGUGAAGGAUGAAGGUCUUC